Molecule: non-coding RNA, 125 nt
Organism: Brassica napus (rape)
Lineage: Eukaryota; Viridiplantae; Streptophyta; Magnoliopsida; Brassicales; Brassicaceae
Source: Rfam
GGAAUAUAAGAACCCGUUUCUUAAUUUUUAACUAAAAAAAUUAAGAACCGGCACUUAAAACUCUUAUUUAAGAACCGAUUCUUAGCUUUUUUAGUUAAAAGUUAAAAAACGGAUUCUUAUAUUCC